This 253-nucleotide ribosomal RNA is filed under the name uncultured bacterium. Its description in RNAcentral is "partial 16S ribosomal RNA". It matches the Rfam family "Bacterial small subunit ribosomal RNA", at positions 524 to 776 of the family's 1533-position model. The record is from RNAcentral.
UACGUAGGCAGCAAGCGUUGUUCGGAAUUACUGGGCGUAAAGGGCGCGUAGGCGGCCUGUUAAGUCGAACGUGAAAUCCCCGGGCUCAACCCGGGAACUGCGUCCGAUACUGGCAGGCUUGAAUCCGGGAGAGGGAUGCGGAAUUCCAGGUGUAGCGGUGAAAUGCGUAGAUAUCUGGAGGAACACCGGUGGCGAAGGCGGCAUCCUGGACCGGCAUUGACGCUGAGGCGCGAAAGCCAGGGGAGCAAACGGG